Molecule: long non-coding RNA, 268 nt
Filed under: Ananas comosus (pineapple)
Lineage: Eukaryota; Viridiplantae; Streptophyta; Magnoliopsida; Poales; Bromeliaceae
Description: long non-coding RNA (ACOM_LNC014880)
Source: RNAcentral
GUUACAGGCAGGGUGGGUCCGUUUGGGCAGCCCGUGUGAGAUCUGGUCAGUGGUAGUUAGUGAUGCAUAUUUUUGUCUACAGUUAAUUGAUUUUGGUAGCGAUAAUAUAGAGGCAUGUAACUGUAGAGUUUUCCAGCUUUCUUUACUAUUCCGUGCAUAUUAUUAUUGUAGACUUAGUAGGUGGGCCGUUGAGGUCGGUGGCGGUACCCACUGAGGACUACUCUGUUUUGCAGUAGUUUUACACCCAGUUGUUGACACUUUUUGCAGA